Molecule: ribosomal RNA, 443 nt
Filed under: uncultured Anaerolineaceae bacterium
Lineage: Bacteria; Bacillati; Chloroflexota; Anaerolineae; Anaerolineales; Anaerolineaceae
Description: bacterial SSU rRNA
Rfam family: Bacterial small subunit ribosomal RNA
Source: RNAcentral
GCACAAGCAGCGGAGCGUGUGGUUUAAUUCGUUGCUACACGAAGAACCUUACCUGGGUUUGACAUAUAGGUUGUAGGGAACUGAAAGGGACCGACCUUCGGGAGCCUAUACAGGUGUUGCAUGGCUGUCGUCAGCUCGUGUCGUGAGAUGUUCGGUUAAGUCCGCUAACGAGCGCAACCCUCGUCGUAUGUUAUAUGUGUCAUACGAGACUGCCGGUAAAAAGCCGGAGGAAGGUGAGGAUGAUGUCAAGUCAGCAUGACCUUUAUAUCCAGGGCUACACACACGCUGCAAUGGUCUGUACAAUGGGUAGCCAAGCCGCGAGGCGGAGCCAAUCCUGAAAGCAGGCCUCAGUUCAGAUUGCAGUCUGCAACUCGACUGCAUGAAGCCGGAGUUGCUAGUAACCGCAGGUCAGCAAUACUGCGGUGAAUACGUUCCCGGGUCUU